Molecule: ribosomal RNA, 472 nt
Filed under: uncultured bacterium
Lineage: Bacteria
Description: bacterial SSU rRNA
Rfam family: Bacterial small subunit ribosomal RNA
Source: RNAcentral
UCGGGAAUUUUGGGCAAUGGGCGAAAGCCUGAUCCAGCCAUGCCGCGUGUGUGAAGAAGGUCUUCGGAUUGUAAAGCACUUUAAGUUGGGAGGAAGGGCAGUUACCUAAUACGUAUCUGUUUUGACGUUACCGACAGAAUAAGCACCGGCUAACUCUGUGCCAGCAGCCGCGGUAAUGCAGAGGGUGCAAGCGUUAAUCGGAAUUACUGGGCGUAAAGCGCGCGUAGGUGGUUUGUUAAGUUGGAUGUGAAAUCCCCGGGCUCAACCUGGGAACUGCAUUCAAAACUGACAAGCUAGAGUAUGGUAGAGGGUGGUGGAAUUUCCUGUGUAGCGGUGAAAUGCGUAGAUAUAGGAAGGAACACCAGUGGCGAAGGCGACCACCUGGACUGAUACUGACACUGAGGUGCGAAAGCGUGGGGAGCAAACAGGAUUAGAUACCCCCGUAGUCCCUGAGCGGGCUGGCAAGGCGCAU